This 72-nucleotide transfer RNA is filed under the name Sphingomonas phage PAU. It matches the Rfam family "tRNA". From Rfam's summary of the family: Transfer RNA (tRNA) molecules are approximately 80 nucleotides in length. Their secondary structure includes four short double-helical elements and three loops (D, anti-codon, and T loops). The record is from Rfam by way of RNAcentral. Lineage: Duplodnaviria; Heunggongvirae; Uroviricota; Caudoviricetes.
GCUCUUCUAGCUCAAUUGGUAGAGUGAUAGAUUCAUUAUCUAUUGGAUAUGGGUUCGAAUCCCAUGAGAGCG